This 301-nucleotide ribosomal RNA is filed under the name uncultured bacterium. RNAcentral describes it as "partial 16S ribosomal RNA". It matches the Rfam family "Bacterial small subunit ribosomal RNA", at positions 509 to 807 of the family's 1533-position model. The record is from RNAcentral.
CAGCAGCCGCGGGAAUACGAAGGUCCCGAGCGUUGUUCGGAAUCACUGGGCGUAAAGGGAGCGUAGGCGGCGUGGUAAGUCAGAUGUGAAAUCCCGGGGCUCAACCCCGGAACUGCAUCCGAUACUGCCAUGCUAGAGGAUUGGAGAGGUAGCUGGAAUUCUUGGUGUAGCAGUGAAAUGCGUGGAGAUCAAGAGGAACACUCGUGGCGAAAGCGAGCUACUGGACAAUAACUGACGCUGAGGCUCGAAGGCCAGGGUAGCGAAAGGGAUUAGAUACCCCCGUAGUCCCUGUCUCUUAUAC